AGAGUUUGAUCCUGGCUCAGGAUGACGCUGGCGGCGUGCCUAACACAUGCAAGUCGAGCGAAGUCGAUUUUGUAGGAAGUUUACGGAUGGAAUUAAGAUUGACUGAGCGGCGACGGGUGAGUAACGCGUGGGUAACCUGCCUCAUACAGGGGGAUAACAGUUAGAAAUGACUGCUAAUACCGCAUAAGCGCACGGGACCGCAUGGUCUUGUGUGAAAAACUCCGGUGGUAUGAGAUGGACCCGCGUCUGAUUAGGUAGUUGGCGGGGUAGCGGCCCACCAAGCCGACGAUCAGUAGCCGACCUGGGAGGGUGACCGGCCACAUUGGGACUGAGACACGGCCCAAACUCCUACGGGAGGCAGCAGUGGGGAAUAUUGCACAAUGGGGGAAACCCUGAUGCAGCGACGCCGCGUGAGUGAAGAAGUAUUUCGGUAUGUAAAGCUCUAUCAGCAGGGAAGAAAGUGACGGUACCUGAGUAAGAAGCCCCGGCUAACUACGUG
RNAcentral lists this ribosomal RNA (499 nucleotides) under uncultured Lachnospiraceae bacterium. Its description in RNAcentral is "bacterial SSU rRNA". It matches the Rfam family "Bacterial small subunit ribosomal RNA", at positions 8 to 507 of the family's 1533-position model. The record is from RNAcentral. Lineage: Bacteria; Bacillati; Bacillota; Clostridia; Lachnospirales; Lachnospiraceae.